This 744-nucleotide ribosomal RNA is filed under the name uncultured Chloroflexota bacterium. RNAcentral's name for it is "bacterial SSU rRNA". It matches the Rfam family "Bacterial small subunit ribosomal RNA", at positions 8 to 796 of the family's 1533-position model. Lineage: Bacteria; Bacillati; Chloroflexota. The record is from RNAcentral.
AGAGUUUGAUCCUGGCUCAGAACGAACGCUGGCGGCAGGCUUAACACAUGCAAGUCGAGCGGGCGCUUUCGGGCGUCAGCGGCGGACGGGUUAGUAACGCGUGGGAACGUGCCCUUUGCUCUGGAAUAGCCCUGGGAAACUGGGGGUAAUACCGGAUGUGCCCUGAGGGGGAAAGAUUUAUCGGCAAGGGAUCGGCCCGCGUCUGAUUAGGUAGUUGGUGUGGUAACGGCGCACCAAGCCGUUGACGGGUAGCUGGUCUGUGAGGACGAUCAGCCAGACUGGGACUGCGACACGGCCCAGACACCUACGGGUGGCAGCAGCGAGGAACCUUCCACAAUGGGCGCAAGCCCGAUGGAGCAACGCCGCGUGGAGGACGACGGCCUUCGGGUUGUAAACUCCUUUCGGGAGGGAUGAUACGGACAGUACCUCCAAAAGAAGCCCCGGCUAACUCUGUGCCAGCAGCCGCGGUAAUACAGGGGGGGCAAGCGUUGUCCGGAAUUACUGGGCGUACAGCGCGCGCAGGCGGUCCACUACGUGCCGUGUGACAGACGUCGGCUUAACCGACGUAGGCCAGGGUACACGGGUGAACUUGAGGCAGAGAGAGGGAUGUGGAAUACCCGGUGGAGCGGUGAAAUGCGUAGAGAUCGGGUGGAACACCAGGGGCGAAGGCGGCAUCCUGGCUCUGUACUGACGCUGAGGCGCGAGAGCGUGGGGAGCAAACCGGAUUAGAUACCCCAGUAGUCC